Molecule: ribosomal RNA, 253 nt
Filed under: uncultured bacterium
Lineage: Bacteria
Description: partial 16S ribosomal RNA
Rfam family: Bacterial small subunit ribosomal RNA
Source: RNAcentral
UACGUAGGGUGCAAGCGUUGUCCGGAAUUAUUGGGCGUAAAGAGCGUGUAGGCGGCCCGAUUAGUCCGCUGUGAAAGUCCAGGGCUCAACCCUGGAAUGCCGGUGGAUACUGUCGGGCUAGAGUCCGGAAGAGGCGAGUGGAAUUCCUGGUGUAGCGGUGAAAUGCGCAGAUAUCAGGAGGAACACCAAUUGCGAAGGCAGCUCGCUGGGACGUUACUGACGCUGAGACGCGAAAGCGUGGGGAGCAAACAGG